UACGUAGGGAGCAAGCGUUGUCCGGAGUUACUGGGCGUAAAGCGCACGCAGGCGGUCUUGCGCGUUCGUGCCGACAGCGACUCGCCUAACGAGUCGAGGAGUACGAAAACGGCAAGACUUGAGGGCCAGAGAGGGACACGGAACUCCGGGUGGAGUGGUGAAAUGCGUAGAGAUCCGGAAGAACACCAAAGGCGAAGGCAGUGUCCUGGCUGGUACCUGACGCUCAGAGGCGAGAGCUAGGGGAGCGAACGGG
RNAcentral lists this ribosomal RNA (253 nucleotides) under uncultured prokaryote. Its description in RNAcentral is "partial 16S ribosomal RNA". It matches the Rfam family "Bacterial small subunit ribosomal RNA", at positions 524 to 776 of the family's 1533-position model. The record is from RNAcentral.